Molecule: ribosomal RNA, 301 nt
Filed under: uncultured bacterium
Lineage: Bacteria
Description: partial 16S ribosomal RNA
Rfam family: Bacterial small subunit ribosomal RNA
Source: RNAcentral
CAGUAGCCGCGGUAAAACGUAGGUGGCAAGCGUUGUCCGGAAUUAUUGGGCGUAAAGGGCUCGCAGGCGGUUUCUUAAGUCUGAUGUGAAAGCCCCGGCUCAACCGGGGAGGGUCAUUGGAAACUGGGAAACUUGAGUGCAGAAGAGGAGAGUGGAAUUCCACGUGUAGCGGUGAAAUGCGUAGAGAUGUGGAGGAACACCAGUGGCGAAGGCGACUCUCUGGUCUGUAACUGACGCUGAGGAGCGAAAGCGUGGGGAGCGAACAGGAUUAGAUACCCCAGUAGUCCCUGUCUCUUAUACA